Long non-coding RNA from Neopsephotus bourkii (Bourke's parrot), 5253 nucleotides. RefSeq lists it as uncharacterized. NCBI's taxonomy places the organism in Eukaryota, Metazoa, Chordata, Aves, Psittaciformes, Psittacidae. The record is from RefSeq and is a predicted model, not a curated record. The transcript is spliced from 3 exons.
GGGUGAAGUCCCGUCCUCCUGCAGUACCAGAGACAAAGGCUGUCAUUCUGCUCUAGAAGUUGAUGAGUUGAGCUGAGUUUUAGAUUACAGGCCCCUGGCUGCUGCUGGUUUGACACCCACCAUACACCCAGCCCUCAGUUAGAUGUGCUCUGUUAAUGCCAUAUGAUAAAACAGCGGUAAAACCAGGACUGCAGCAUGAGAAUUUGAAGCAAGCUGUGCCAUGCUCUGGCUGCUGAACAUCGCAAGGCCUCUCACAAAGGUUCCCUGUCAUUAACCAGACCUUCUGAUGAGCAUGCAGAGAUUUGAUGCUUGUUUCAGUGAGCCUCGCCAGGGCUGGUAGCCCUCCUUAGCCUUAGUUCAAAGCAGAGACUCAGUGGGGCCAGGCUGUAGGUUUGCUGCCCAGGUGCUGUUUGUGCUGACUCUUCCUCCUCCUGCCUUCCCCAAUGGCUGGGAAAGGUGGUCAAGGGCUGUUCCCAAUUCACCUUUGCCAGCACCAGGCAGCAGUUUAUAGACCUCUGUUGUAUUCUCACUUUACUUCCUAGACUGAAAAGCCCCAGUCUCUUUAGUUACACCCCAUAGAGAUAAAGCAGGUAAAAAUGGGAUCACUUGGGGUAAAAGGGUAAUCAGUCAUUCCUGCCAUCACUCUUCUUCCUCUAUUGUCAGUUUGGUUACACGGUCUCCUUAGCAAGAUUUACACCAUCCCAGGUGGCAUUUGAGGCCAAAUGCCAAACAACUUGGCAUCUUUUGAGCCAAAGGGAUUGUUCUGUGUUUCACCCUCAAGCCUAUGCUUGUGCCACAGCUUUGAUGAUAUUCUCUACCCAAAGCUAUAAUAUUUAGAAUGACACCAGAAUUCAUAGAGCCUGUAAGGGAGAGGCACCUCAUCAUCUCUAGAGCGAUUUGUGAAUGAGAGGUGAAGAAGGGUGGAAGGCAGAGAUUUAAAGGGCAGAGAAUUGUCAAGGUUUAAGAAAUUAAAACAGCCCCCACUGGCCCCUUUAUCUAUCAAUUUAAACCAAAACCCCAACAACACCCCAAACCAGUUUGGCUUUAUCAAGAUGAAGAGAUGCCACAUAGUCUGACUACCUCAUUAAUGAGCUUCUCUGUGGUUUAGGAAAUUCAGAUCUGCCAGCUCUCAUUUCCAGCAUGCAUCUAGGCUGGUGGCUGCUCUGCUUGUGUUCCUACACCUCAUGUUGUGACCAGUUCCGAAUCUGGGAUGAAUCACAAGCAGGUAGGACCCUGUUCAGGCCCAAAUAGCAGCCAACCUACCAGGCUCAUAGCACUUCAGUCCUGAAUGAGGGCAAAAGUAUGAACAUUGCCUGUCCUAUGAGAUCUCUGUCAUUCAAAGCCAAAUCCACACGCUAAACUUGAUUUGCCUAUUCCUUUUACUGCUCUUUGGAGAGGUCUGAGCACUGUGAUGAAAGGACCCUGUGGAGUACAGUGAGACAAGAAUAUGUUAAAUGUUGCAGAUGUGCUCAAAUUGGGGAUAGGGAGAUAACCCAGUGAGAAAAGUAGUCUGGGAUCAAAACCACUGUGAUUUCUAAUAACUGGAGAAUUGAGCUGUAACAGCCUGCAGAGCAUCUGUGUGUUGGUCUGCCCAUAGAAGACACAGCUUCCUUUAAGCUACCCAGACCACAGGCUCCAAAAGGUCCUGUACUAACCUUAGGAUAACAUAACUGUUGCCUCCCUGAGACCCUAAGUGUGCCUAAACAAGGGGGAUGUGCGUGAGGGCUGAGUUCCCAGAGUGGGUGCUGGGAGCACAGUGUGAGAGCGUGCGAUGCUGUGCAGAAACACGGCUUAAGGUCAGACUCGGCUCUAAAGCUUCCUCAGAAUCCCAAAUCCUCUUUUUAUAAGAGUUUCACUCAAACACAAACAAUUAAAGAAUUUCAUCUUCUCCUCCUAUGGUGGGAAAGCCUGGAUGCUCCUCUGGUCUCUAAACUUUAUUAAAUAGCUCAGAGCCUUCCCUCGGUGAGGGUCCUGCUUGGCUUCACACAACCCGGAUCUUUGUGUUCGAUGCAAAUAAAUUGGUCACUGAUGCCAGUUGGCAGCAGGGAAGAGAAAUCACACAGCCUGUUGCAAGGAAGGGAGCUGCGAGCCUCAUGGCUGCUGAUACGGUUGGAGUCGUUUGCCAAGGACCCCCAUCAACGGCAGCACCUUUUCAGAGACCUCAGUGUGUGCUAUUGCGCAUCUCCACUAUCCACCUCUCCUUAUGCUUCACCUCCUAGGGACAACACCUAUGCCAGCCUCUGUGCUCAAGCACUCGAUGUUCGGAUGCCUGCCUGGGGCACAGGGAGAUGGGUUUUGUCAUUUUAAUGCUGGAAUUUACCCCAUUAAUAGCAGUGAUCUGACACAACGGGCAGAAACUCUCCCCCUGGACCGGUUGCUCUGGAGGCCUGCGGCUCUCUCAUCACCAGGGCUUUGUCAGAGCGUGCAGUAUGCUAACAUCCUGCCAGCUCACCUUUCUCUAAGCGUCAGUCCCACCAGUGCAAAUAAGGUGUCUGCCACAUGUCUGCUGGUUUCUCCCUGGUGCACUGAGGCAAAGCAGCCCUUCCUUGUCAGUCAGUGACCAAAACUGUUGAUUCUGGAACAACUGACUGUGCUGGCUGUAAAGGAUGCCAAAACCUCUUGAAAGCUGGGAGGCAAAGGUGUUUUCUUUGUAAAUGAAUUUAGCUGUAGAAGGAAUUUCCCUGAGAGCUUGUUUGAUAUCUGGACUAGAAAUGGCUUUCCUUCUCCAUCUCCACCUACUCAGCCCUCAGAGCCACAUCCAGGGAGCCUUUGGACACAAUUCUCCUCUCGACAUUCCCUGCUUUGGAGUUCCUCUGUGUUUAUCUCUAGACAGCUGAUGGAUGUUCCAGGUGAGUCCAACUGGAAUGUGCUUGCUGGGUUGGUGUCAUGGACUUAGUGCAGCCUAGGGAGGGUUCCUCAGUUGCAGAGCACAUUUCCUGUUGUAUCAGACAUUUGUGGCAGGGCUGAGCUGAAGGAAGCUUGGUCCAGUUUGGUUAAACUGCCCGUUCAAAUCACAGCCAGCUCCUGAGCUGCUUGUUAAAGCUCAGGUCUGGUACAUCCCACUUGAUGUAAGCGCUCUCUGGUUCCCUGGGAGCCAUCCCUGCUCAGUUCAGCAGCUUCCCCCUUUCCCUCCCCAUCAGCAGGCCAAGGGGGAUUUCUGGCCAGCUCCAGGCCCCAGGGUCACCCAGGUACCUCCUGCCUCCCUUGCCAAACACAGCUGUGCAAAAGGAAGGCACAUCCUAAGCGCUGUGCAUGCCCGAAGCAGCACGGAUCUAUCAUAUUGCUAAAUGCUGCCAUGUGUGAUAGAGGCAGGACCUUGCAAGGCAAAAGACAUUUUGCAGCCACAUAGGAGAGCGACCCCAUGGUAAGAGUGGCUUUUAAGAAACAAGUCUGAAGGAGAGGAGUGGUAAACCCAGCUCUACCUGUACCCAAAGACACAGGUAACACCUGGUGGCACUGAUAAAGCUGGUGCUGUGAGCCUUAGCUCCCAUAGGAAACAGGACCUCUACCAGCAUCCGUAAGUAAAUAUCCCCCUGUGUCUUUACACACUUAAAUACCUUUGCAAACCUGGCUCCUUGCCUGUUUCCCACACUGGGCUGCUGCUGCUUUACUUGUGCACAGCAGCAGGAGCAAGGAGCUCAGCUGUAAUUUGGGGUUGUGUUGUGCUAAGCACUGUACAGGCACAGAACAAAAGACCUCUGACUGCUUCCCAGCAUCCAGCUCUUGUUGUUUCAAAAACAACCCUCCCCGUUUCUCUGGUUUUUCACUUUUAUUCAUUGUUUUCUUGCUUCCUUUAUAUUCCUGGUGCCUCCAAGCUAGAAUACCUUUGCUGGGCUCCUGAGGGAGCCAGGCCAAACCACAUGGAAAGGGCUUUUUACCUGUGUCCCGCUUAUCUACAAGAGGGUCGGAACGUGUGUGUAUCCCAUUAACUCUGUCCUCGCUGCUCUCAAGAUGUUCCGCACAAAUGAUUUUAUUUUUUUGUGAAACAGAAAUUUGGCAAAACACAACCUGUUCCUGGGCGCCUAAGAGCUACAGAAACCACCUCCCAAAGGAAGCCAUAAAGUGCCAUUGUAUGCCUACUGGGUCUGAUGAAACACCAGAGGAAAUGAUCCCAAGUGAAGGUCUUUGCCAUUUCUCACACCUCUGGUUCUCUGAUCCACCCUCUUUGUGUCUCUGGGUUGGCUACAAAUGGGAAGAGAACAGUCCUGGAAAGACUGUGCUUCAGAGAACAACUGGAGAUGUUCAGAUAUGAACCUUAUCUGCCUUGCAUUGAGAGCAUCAUCAGAGGAAGACCAGAGUGGACUCCACCACCCAGCCUCACCUUGCUGGUACUACAGGUUGUACUGUGCAGCUUUGGCCCCCACCCCUCCUCCAGGGCCUUAUUGCAUAAAGCCCACCACCCAGGGUGGUAUGGGCCCUACCUUGCCUCAGGGGCACUGCUGCAUUCCCUGCCUUCCCACCCAGCCCUUUCCCACCCACCCAACAUCAUCUGAGUCCUCGGGACAUCUACAGCAGCUUCCUACAGGAAUGUCAUGUCGGGAAGGCAUUUAAAGCCUUUGUAGCUCUAAUGCCAUGUAAACAAGGAGGUAAGCCCACCCCACCCCACCACUCCAAAGCCCUUUUGAUGUUGAUUUCUUUUAUGGCCACCAGCCACACUUUGGGAGAGCUGGUCCCUGCACCAACCCGUCUGCAGUCCUGCUGCCUGCUCCUGCCUAACACCCAGCUCUUGGAGCCCUCGCUGGCUUCUGAGCCAAGUCAGGGUGUCCCUGGGAGCUUUGCCUGUAUAAGGGCUGUAGCGUCUGGCACGUUGUCUGGAAAGCGCUGUGUAAAUAGGAGGGACAAUUAUCACAGCCCUUUCCCGAAAGGAAAUUCCAUAUUGGCACCGAGCGGCAGGAUAGGAUGGCAGAGCAAGCUGGGCUGUGCGCAGGGCUCUGCCCUCCUCCGGCAGCCUCUGACAGCAUGGGGAGGGAAACUGGCUCUUUGAUGGGACACGCUGCUCUAGUGGAAGCCCAUAUGGUACUGAGCGAUCUGUGCUGAAUGCCCCUGUUAUCCACACGCCCCUGUCACCGCCCCCCUGCCUCUACCCUCCCCUCGGGCCCCCUCCCUGAUGCAGAGGUUAAAUAAAAUAUCAUUUCCUUCUGAUUUAGCCUUUGUCUUUGGCAAUCAAAAUGCCCUUCAGGCCCCUGUGGAUUCAACCUUCCAGGUCAGGGUAGGACAUGGGAAACCCCUUCCCAGGCGUUUCACUGUAGAUAA